AGAGUUUGAUCCUGGCUCAGGAUGAACGCUAGCUACAGGCUUAACACAUGCAAGUCGAGGGGAAACGAUAUUGGAAGCUUGCUUCCGAUAGGCGUCGACCGGCGCACGGGUGAGUAACGCGUAUCCAACCUGCCCAUCACUUGGGGAUAACCUUGCGAAAGUAAGACUAAUACCCAAUGACGUCUCUAGAAGACAUCUGAAGGAGAUUAAAGAUUUAUCGGUGAUGGAUGGGGAUGCGUCUGAUUAGCUUGUUGGCGGGGUAACGGCCCACCAAGGCGACGAUCAGUAGGGGUUCUGAGAGGAAGGUCCCCCACAUUGGAACUGAGACACGGUCCAAACUCCUACGGGAGGCAGCAGUGAGGAAUAUUGGUCAAUGGGCGAGAGCCUGAACCAGCCAAGUAGCGUGCAGGAUGACGGCCCUAUGGGUUGUAAACUGCUUUUAUAAGGGAAUAAAGUGAGUCUCGUGAGACUUUUUGCAUGUACCUUAUGAAUAAGGACCGGCUAAUUCCGUGCCAGCAGCCGCGGUAAUACGGAAGGUCCGGGCGUUAUCCGGAUUUAUUGGGUUUAAAGGGAGCGUAGGCCGGAGAUUAAGCGUGUUGUGAAAUGUAGAUGCUCAACAUCUGCACUGCAGCGCGAACUGGUUUCCUUGAGUACGCACAAAGUGGGCGGAAUUCGUGGUGUAGCGGUGAAAUGCUUAGAUAUCACGAAGAACUCCGAUUGCGAAGGCAGCUCACUGGAGCGCAACUGACGCUGAAGCUCGAAAGUGCGGGUAUCGAACAGGAUUAGAUACCCUGGUAGUCCGCACGGUAAACGAUGGAUGCCCGCUGUUGGUCUGAAUAGGUCAGCGGCCAAGCGAAAGCAUUAAGCAUCCCACCUGGGGAGUACGCCGGCAACGGUGAAACUCAAAGGAAUUGACGG
Molecule: ribosomal RNA, 918 nt
Filed under: uncultured bacterium
Lineage: Bacteria
Description: bacterial SSU rRNA
Rfam family: Bacterial small subunit ribosomal RNA
Source: RNAcentral